RNAcentral lists this ribosomal RNA (260 nucleotides) under uncultured archaeon. RNAcentral's name for it is "partial 16S ribosomal RNA". It matches the Rfam family "Archaeal small subunit ribosomal RNA", at positions 748 to 1008 of the family's 1478-position model. The record is from RNAcentral.
AGGGUGUAAACGCUGCAGACUUGGUGUUGGAAGCCCUUUGGGGGCAUUCAGUGCCGGAGAGAAGUUGUUAAGUCUGCUACUUGGGGAGUACGUCCGCAAGGAUGAAACUUAAAGGAAUUGGCGGGGGAGCACCGCAACGGGAGGAGCGUGCGGUUUAAUUGGAUUCAACACCGUAAACUCACCAGGGAAGACUGUUACAUGAAGGCCGAGAUGAAGACUCUGCUAGAUUUUCAGAGAGGAGGUGCAUGGCGUCAGUGACU